RNAcentral lists this ribosomal RNA (253 nucleotides) under uncultured bacterium. Its description in RNAcentral is "partial 16S ribosomal RNA". It matches the Rfam family "Bacterial small subunit ribosomal RNA", at positions 524 to 776 of the family's 1533-position model. The record is from RNAcentral.
UACGGAGGGUGCAAGCGUUGUUCGGAAUUACUGGGCGUAAAGCGCGUGUAGGCGGAUUCGGAAGUCGGGUGUGAAAGCCCUGGGCUUAACCCAGGAAGUGCGCCCGAAACCACGAGUCUUGAGGUCCGGAGGGGAUCGGGGAAUUCCCAGUGUAGAGGUGAAAUUCGUAGAUAUUGGGAGGAACACCGGUGGCGAAGGCGCCGAUCUGGACGGAUUCUGACGCUGAGACGCGAAAGCGUGGGUAGCAAACAGG